This 1436-nucleotide ribosomal RNA is filed under the name uncultured organism. Its description in RNAcentral is "16S ribosomal RNA". It matches the Rfam family "Bacterial small subunit ribosomal RNA". The record is from RNAcentral.
CAGGCUUAACACAUGCAAGUCGAGGGGCAGCACAGGUAGCAAUACCGGGUGGCGACCGGCGCACGGGUGAGUAACGCGUAUGCAACUUGCCUAUCAGAGGGGGAUAACCCGGCGAAAGUCGGACUAAUACCGCAUGAAGCAGGGGCCCCGCAUGGGGAUAUUUGCUAAAGAUUCAUCGCUGAUAGAUAGGCAUGCGUUCCAUUAGGCAGUUGGCGGGGUAACGGCCCACCAAACCGACGAUGGAUAGGGGUUCUGAGAGGAAGGUCCCCCACAUUGGUACUGAGACACGGACCAAACUCCUACGGGAGGCAGCAGUGAGGAAUAUUGGUCAAUGGCCGAGAGGCUGAACCAGCCAAGUCGCGUGAGGGAUGAAGGUUCUAUGGAUCGUAAACCUCUUUUAUAAGGGAAUAAAGUGCGGGACGUGUCCCGUUUUGUAUGUACCUUAUGAAUAAGGAUCGGCUAACUCCGUGCCAGCAGCCGCGGUAAUACGGAGGAUCCGAGCGUUAUCCGGAUUUAUUGGGUUUAAAGGGUGCGUAGGCGGCCUUUUAAGUCAGCGGUGAAAGUCUGUGGCUCAACCAUAGAAUUGCCGUUGAAACUGGGGGGCUUGAGUAUGUUUGAGGCAGGCGGAAUGCGUGGUGUAGCGGUGAAAUGCAUAGAUAUCACGCAGAACCCCGAUUGCGAAGGCAGCCUGCCAAGCCAUUACUGACGCUGAUGCACGAAAGCGUGGGGAUCAAACAGGAUUAGAUACCCUGGUAGUCCACGCAGUAAACGAUGAUCACUAGCUGUUUGCGAUACACUGUAAGCGGCACAGCGAAAGCGUUAAGUGAUCCACCUGGGGGGUACGCCGGCAACGGUGAAACUCAAAGGAAUUGACGGGGGCCCGCACAAGCGGAGGAACAUGUGGUUUAAUUCGAUGAUACGCGAGGAACCUUACCCGGGUUUGAACGCAUUCGGACCGAGGUGGAAACACCUUUUCUAGCAAUAGCCGUUUGCGAGGUGCUGCAUGGUUGUCGUCAGCUCGUGCCGUGAGGUGUCGGCUUAAGUGCCAUAACGAGCGCAACCCUUGCCACUAGUUACUAACAGGUAAAGCUGAGGACUCUGGUGGGACUGCCAGCGUAAGCUGCGAGGAAGGCGGGGAUGACGUCAAAUCAGCACGGCCCUUACAUCCGGGGCGACACACGUGUUACAAUGGCGUGGACAAAGGGAAGCCACCUGGCGACAGGGAGCGAAUCCCCAAACCACGUCUCAGUUCGGAUCGGAGUCUGCAACCCGACUCCGUGAAGCUGGAUUCGCUAGUAAUCGCGCAUCAGCCAUGGCGCGGUGAAUACGUUCCCGGGCCUUGUACACACCGCCCGUCAAGCCAUGGGAGCCGGGGGUACCUGAAGUCCGUAACCGCGAGGAUCGGCCUAGGGUAAAACUGGUGACUGGGGCUAAGU